Molecule: long non-coding RNA, 2733 nt
Organism: Trifolium pratense (red clover)
Lineage: Eukaryota; Viridiplantae; Streptophyta; Magnoliopsida; Fabales; Fabaceae
Exons: 12
Source: RefSeq, a predicted model, not a curated record
UAAAACUACACAAGUGAGCUACACCAAAUAGCAAAAAAAGACAAGUGUCAAUCUCUAAGCCCCUCCACAUAGGAUUUUAGGUUUCAUUAAAUUCCAAAAAUUUUACCUCAAUUAGGCAAUAUUUUCAAAUUUGGAGUUGGAGGGAAAAUUUUGUGAAGGAAUGAUGAAAGGGCCUUAAAAUGGACCGCAAAUGCAAGGCCCAUGUGGUUUAAGCCCAAAACUGGAGGAAAAAAAAAAUUGAUGGCAGAAGAAAGGACUGAUACGUCGUUUUCUUUCUCUGCAAUGUUUCCUUAUUUUGGCUAACAAGUAAGAAACAAUUUAUUCAAAAACAAAUCAAAAUCCCAAAUCUAUGCAAGCUUCUUCUGUCCCACCUCAUUCAAACAUGGCAAGCCCACACGUGGAUGAACAAGUUAAAACUCCUGGUCAAGCUUCCUCUCUACACACAAAUUUGAGAGAUUCCUUCGUUUCUCCAUCACUUUUGACAAACCCAGCGGCGAGAAAAUUAUGAAGUAAGGGAUGCUGUUCUUCAAUCUUCAUUCCUCACGUUGUUUCUUUUCUUCUUCAUGUGCAAAUCAGAGAUUGCUGCUAAUGAAUUUAAGUGAAAGAGUCUUUGAACUUUGGAUGAUGUGAUAGAGCGGCUGAUGUUGGACUUCAAGUGAUGAGUUUCAAUGCCCCUUUUUCGGGUGUUUAUUAGAAGCCCAACUAUGUCCAAAUAUUUGUAACGUCACAAUUAUUGGAAUGCUCAUUUGCUUAAAGAAGAAAAGAGAACAAGUUUGUUUGAAUGGAGGAGACACAUCCAUCGUCCUUUGAUCGUCCUUUGGAUGAAAUUAGAGAGCACCAUUGCACCAGCUUAUGAUUUUUGAGGAGACACAUCCAUCAUCCUUUGAUCGUCCUUUGGAUGAAAUUAGAGAGCACCAUUGCACCAGCUUAUGAUUUUUGUAUGUCUACUCUUUCUAACAUGUGUGUAAUCUAGGAACUAAUUCUGAGUUGCCUUAUAGAAUGAAAGUUCACCCAAUAAAGAUGGCAUUAUUUGUACGAUGGAAACGUCAAAGCGUUACAGGUUUAUGUAAAGUUAAGGUGAACGAUCAUAUCAACUCAAUUUGAGAAGUUGAUAUAAUAUUGAUUUGGUUAUGCAUCUCUAAAGCUAUUUGGUUAUGCAGAAAUACUAAAUUUGUUGGUUCGUCAGAGGUAUAUUUUAUUCUAUAAUACCACAACUACUUCAGAGGUAUAAUCAAUCACUCCAUUUUUUUUUCAUCAUGAAAUGAUCAUCACUUCUUUCAUUUUGUUCUUUGUUUUCAUAUAUAACUUAAAAUUAAAGGUACUAUUCGAUACAACUACAUCUAAUGUAGCACAAACACUUCAUUGUGGAUAGUGUUUUUGUGAUGCCUCUGUCACCGUAUAAGUAGACCACUUAUAGUUUGAUACUUUUAAUUACUUUUAGUUUGAUUUAGAUAGAAAGGAUUAUUGUCAUUAUUUGAAUUCCUUACUUUAGUGAGAGUUGGUGAGGUACAUAGCUUUGAUUGCAUUUUUCCUUUCUUCCAGAUUCUCCUAUAGAUCGUUUGCCGCUGACAGAGUAGACCACCGAUUUUUGUUUUUUUGUUUCAGUUUCUUUGGCUUUAUUUUUUUGGUCUUAUAUAUCAUUCAAUUGUGGUCUUAUUUUUUUAUGAUUUUCUAUACUAUCAUUUGUAUGCAAUUAGUGAAAGAAUUAGUGAAAAUAGAUAAUUUGUUAGCUUUUACAUCACCAGCUUUAAGAAAUUUCAUAAAAAUGGUGUCUUCUUCAUCAUAUUUUUUUAAAUGAUUUAUUUAAAUUUUUGCAAAAACUGUAUGAAAUCAACUGUAAUACUCUAUUUGCACUUUGCAGGCCAAAAGAUUUGUAGACUAUUUGACUACUUUGAUAGUUUUGAUUUUAACCUUAUGUUUAACCCUCAAAAUUUAAGAUGUCAUACAUGCAACAACUUUUCUAUGCUACACUUUUAAGUGCUAGCUAUUUUUUCCAAGAAGAUUAGAGCUUGAAUUUCCAAGAGAAUUAGACUAACCUCAUAUUAAUGUUUUACAAUGUUAAGUGCUAAUUUUUGACACCCUCAUUGUCUAAAAUUGUAGGUUUGAGUUCAAAGGAUGGUAACUAAGAAUAUGAUGGAGCAAAAUUAACAUGUUUCCUUUGAGCACAUGUAUUAUUGUGAGUAAAAUAUUUUACAUUCCUCACUCUCUGACAUUGAUACGACAUAGUAGUGGAAGUGGUGGAAGGUGAUGCUAGAAAUGUUCUCUGUGAUGCUGUGGAGAAGCACCAUGCUUCAAUAUUGGUUCUUGGUAGUCAUGGUUAUGGAGCUAUAAAAAGGGCGGUAUUAGGUAGUGUAAGGACUACUGUGCUCAUCAUGCUCAUUGCACUGUGAUGAUUGUGAAGAAGCCAAAAACCAAACACUGAUCUCAUUGGCUGCGCGCGUCUAAAUUGUCCUACAGCAAUCAGAAUAUAUAUUUUCAGCAAAAGGAAACAUGAAUGUUCUUUAAAGUUUUCACUAAGUUGUUUGUUCCAUGUCAUAUUGACUCUAUAGAAUAAGGUUCAUUUCACAUUUUAUUAUGUUUUAAAUACUAAAAUUAGAACAGGAUUUCUCCCUGUCCCAGCCAGUAGUCAACCCUGGUACUUAUUUUGAUUAUGAUCAGAUUUUGUAAAUGUGACAGUUCUAUGCAUAAACGAAUAAGAAUCAUAUGUAUGCCAUGAUUUUGUUCAUUCCUUAA